Molecule: long non-coding RNA, 201 nt
Organism: Zea mays
Lineage: Eukaryota; Viridiplantae; Streptophyta; Magnoliopsida; Poales; Poaceae
Exons: 3
Source: RefSeq, a predicted model, not a curated record
GAGAAUUGUACAUUGAAUACCAAAAGGAGCGGGUUCACAUGGUGGAUGAUGCGAGACUAGCAUUUGAACUAAGCACAGUUCUCUCUAAGGAGGGGAUUGAAGUCUGCAUGGUACCUUCUGCUGAUAGGCCAGAUGAUGCCAAAUUUGCUGUACCACUUCUGGAGUCUGACUUUGACUUUGCCAUUGCCAAACUCACCAUUA